Long non-coding RNA from Dioscorea cayenensis subsp. rotundata (Guinea yam), 675 nucleotides. RefSeq lists it as uncharacterized. The transcript has 2 exons. Lineage: Eukaryota; Viridiplantae; Streptophyta; Magnoliopsida; Dioscoreales; Dioscoreaceae. The record is from RefSeq and is a predicted model, not a curated record.
CGCCGCUGCCUGCGUCGCCGGAGCCGGAGAGAUCCCAAGGAAUGCUCGAGAUCGCCACCGUCGUCUCUUCUAAUGGCGAGAACUAUUGAUCAUUCCAUUACUGAUCUCAUGAUCUGUAGCGCAUCUAGGGUUUUGUGGAAUUUUCAUUGAGGGUUUUCGAGAUCUGAUACUGUGGUGAUGGAUCUGAGCAGGUACAGAAGCCGAUAACUAGUCCGGUACCCGUUGAAUGGUACCCCAGCCUUUCCGUUCUCAUGCUGUCCAUCGGCCUUGUCCUCACCGCCUCCUUCUUCAUGGUGGCGCUGAUGGACUUAGAGAUUUGAGUAUUAAUUCUCACGAAAAUAUAACAAAGGAAUUUAAAAAUAUCAAUGUAAAUGACAACAAUGCAAUAGCUUCGAGGAAGAUUGCGGAAGAGAUGAUGAUCCUCAUGAUGACGAUGGCGAUAAUGAUAAAGAUGGUGAUGAAGACGAUGACGAUGGUGAUGGAGAUGAUGAUGAUUGAAAUUUUUUACUUUUUUUAACAUGUUUAGUUUGCAUUGAAUCGAUAUCUUAAAUUCUUAUUGACUCAAUGUUUAAUUUUUAGAUUUUCAUAACACUUUAAUUUCUUAGAUUUUGACCUAUCAUUGAAUUUUUGUUUUCAAUUGAGUAAAUGUUCAAUAGCAAUGGAGUUGAUGUUGUA